Myodes glareolus (Bank vole) is the source of this 1700-nucleotide non-coding RNA. The record is from RefSeq and is a predicted model, not a curated record. NCBI's taxonomy places the organism in Eukaryota, Metazoa, Chordata, Mammalia, Rodentia, Cricetidae.
GUGGCACUGCCACCUGGAGCAAUAGUGAUAUCCAAACCUGGCUGCUGCUGCAGACCAUAUCUGAGUUUAUGGUUCUAUCCCAGCUAGAGUCUGUGUUAAAGUACCAGGCCUAUGUUGCCACUAAAUGUUACCUGGAAGCCUGAGGAUAGAGCCAAAAUCUGUGACUUUGGUGUCUGGUCACCAUACUUGCUUGAGUGGCCUCUGCUUCUACCCAGAGCCAGGAUGUCAUUUAGGCUCAAGCCUCAAGCUGAGGGCAAUGUCUAUAUCUGUGGCCCUGCUACAACAGGGUUCUGUGUUUUUGUUUGUCCCAUGUCAUCUCAGGGGAUGAUAUAAACUGUGUCAUGUAAUCAGAGGGCCAUGCUGAGCCAUCCCUACACUUGGCUUGCCCCAGGAUAGCUGGUCCUGUUUCUCAUUGGACAUUUAAAGAGAACUACCCCUACACCUGCACUCUGGGGAUAUGGCCCCACCCCUCACCAUUGGUGAAAGAGGAUUUACCCUGAUAUCUUGGCCAUAAGGGAGCUAGUUCCACCCACCCCUUGCCUAAGGGAGGAAGCCCUAGUUGCCUGGACUGACCAGGUCAACUACUACUCAGACACAGCUGGGCCUGGAGUUGGCCCACUCUAACAUCUACCCUAUUUAGGACUUACUGAAACUCAUGAAGGGACUGGUCCUAUGGAACAAUACUUCAGGAUCUCCAUGACUUGGGGUAACUGUAGGAUAUCCAAGAGGAGUUUUGGUGAAGAUUCAAUGAUGAUAUACUAGAACUCAGAGGCCUUGAACAAAACCAAUGACCCAUUGCAAUGAAUAUUUGCAAGUAAACCUGAUUGGACAAAAGGGUAUACUUUGAAACACCAAGGCUCCAAACACCACCAAGACAAAUAAGGUGUUGGAAAGGUGGGAAAGAUGAAAGAGCAAAGAGAUUUUGUUUUGUUGUUUGUUUGCUUACCUAUUUUGUUUUGAUUUGAUUGUUUAAUUUUCUUUUGGUAGGAGGGUUGUGCAGGGAUAAGGUGAAGCUACAACUGGACUGGAAGGAUCCCCUAAAGUUGCCACCACCCUCAGACAGCAGGAAGAAACUUUAAGAACAUGAGACACAUAUUUCCAAGAGGACAAAGAGACAUGUCUUGCUCCUGACAGCAACAAUCUACUUGAGAAAAGAUAAUGGACAUCAAAGAAACUUUACAUGGAGUUUACUUUCUUUUGGCAACAGAUAACCACUGGUCAAAAAAGUGUUCUUGCCUUUCUGCUGACAAUAUGCUGACCAAAUAGGACAAACAGGACCCAAAAGAAAAGACUGUUAGACUUUACCAAGACAAGGUAAGACAGCCAUUCAGAAUACUCUGCUUCACAGAAAAGUCUGUCAGAUAUUCUAGGCCAGUCGGCUGAAGAUGGAUGUCAGAACAUUGCAGAGGAACCUUGGGUCACAAAUUUUGCAAGUUGCUUACUUGCAUUUCCUGCUUACACAGGUAAUAUUAUUUCCUUCUUGAACACUCCAUCAGAGUAUAAUUUUAGUUUCUCUUGUUACCAGAUUCAGAAAAACAAAUCACUAAAGAGAUGUAAAGUAUGUAAGGUUAAGAGACAUUGAAAGAUAGUUUUGGGCCCAGGGGGUAGUGGCACACACCUUUAAUACUUGCACAUAGGAGGCAGAGACAAGAAAAUCACAGUGAGUUUGAUGCCAGACUAGUUUACAGAGUGAGUUCCAA